RNAcentral lists this microRNA precursor (141 nucleotides) under Gossypium hirsutum (cotton). RNAcentral describes it as "MIR7502 microRNA precursor family". It matches the Rfam family "MIR7502 microRNA precursor family". Lineage: Eukaryota; Viridiplantae; Streptophyta; Magnoliopsida; Malvales; Malvaceae. The record is from Rfam by way of RNAcentral.
GGUUAAAAAUUUCAUCAAUUUGUACGGUUAAAAUUUGAUGUGGUUGACAGAAUAAUCAGACAAUGACAUAACGUGUCACGUAAAUCUCAUGCUGACAUACAAUGACCAAUUUUUAAUAGAAAAUGAAUAAAAUUUUUAAUA